AUUAGAGAAAGUACUCCACUGGGAAAAAUUGGGUAUAUAUUCAAACCAAGAUCUAGUACUCUUACUAGCUUGAAAGACAAUUCCAGUGUGAAGCAUUUCAAUCCACCCAACAUGAUAAUAGAAUGAGCCUCACUGUUACGACACCAAGCCAAUUCUUCCUUCUUAUAGAUACUGAUCCGACUUCGACUCUUAAAGGAACACUGCAUGGAUUGUGCACAUGAAUUUUGAUCACUCUUUCCUCUGAUAACAUUCACAAAAUUCAUGUUUCGAGCUUCCCUCAAACAGAGUUCACGGAUCACAUCAUGCAUUCCACAUCUCUCUAUUUCCCCAUCAAAACUCAAAUUGUGGAUAGAAAUUAGACUUCUAUCUACAAGUUCGUUUAUACAUGUUUCUGCCACCUCUUCUAUGCUUUUUCCUUCUUCUUCAUUCAAAAACCCCUCUACGGCCCAUAACUCAACAAGUGCAUUUACAUAAAUCCGUUCAUCCUCUGCGAAAAUUGCAAAAUACAGAAAACACGGUUUUAGGUGAGAAGGCAAGUGAUGGUAACUCAAAGCCAACACUCUCAUGCAUUUUGCUUCAAGAUCUCUGCUUACCACCGAACUUACAUUCUCCGCAACAUUUUGCCACUCAUCCAAUGUUUUACUGAUUUUGGAGAGAAGUCCAGCAAUCAAAGUAAUUUCUAGAGGUAACCCUCCACAUUUUAAUGCAAUUUGUUUCCCAAUAUUUUCAAAUUCAGGAGAAUAAGAACCUUCUUUUUCAAAGAUCUUUUUGUGUAGUAAAUUCCAACUUUCGUCAAAAUUCAUGAGGCGCAUNNNNNNNNNNNNNNNNNNNNNNNNNNNNNNNNNNNNNNNNNNNNNNNNNNNNNNNNNNNNNNNNNNNNNNNNNNNNNNNNNNNNNNNNNNNNNNNNNNNNNNNNNNNNNNNNNNNNNNNNNNNNNNNNNNNNNNNNNNNNNNNNNNNNNNNNNNNNNNNNNNNNNNNNNNNNNNNNNNNNNNNNNNNNNNNNNNNNNNNNNNNNNNNNNNNNNNNNNNNNNNNNNNNNNNNNNNNNNNNNNNNNNNNNNNNNNNNNNNNNNNNNNNNNNNNNNNNNNNNNNNNNNNNNNNNNNNNNNNNNNNNNNNNNNNNNNNNNNNNNNNNNNNCAUGUUCAGGUAAACUGACAAGUGAGCUAGUUUGUGGUUUUAGAUCUUUCAUGCUGUCCGAUGCUGCCAUCCACUGUUUCACGGUGGAAUCAAUGUAUUCUAGUGCUUGUUCCAAGACGAAAAAAAUCUCCCACAUAGCCCUGCUUCUUUCCUCCAAAUUCUGUGCUAAAAAAACAUUUCUUGAUUCCGAGUCAACCAUAUCUUCUGUUGUGUAUGCUACCUCUGCGAUUUCAACUUCCAAGAUUGUUAACCCCUCAUGAUCGCCCAUUAUAUUGCAGGAUUUCUCCAGAAUAGCUCUCAAAGAUUUGAGCUUUUCAUAAAACGGUUGCAAAUCACAUCCAGUAAGUUCCAUUGAUUGAUGUAUGGUUCUCAUAAGGGAAGUAACAGCAGCAUAAGCCAUAUAUCCAAAAAAUAGAAAUAUCUCUCAGUAUGAAAAUGGACAAAUUGCCACAAGUUAUGUAAUUUUUCAGUUUUUAAGAAAACAGAAAAUGCAAAGUUCUUUCUUUUACUAGCUAUUUCCAUCACAUUUCCAGCUAGGUCCACCAACCUUAUCAUCAUGUAGACAAAAGCAGAGACCAAAGUUAAAAAAAAGUAGAAAAAUUUGUGAUCAUUCAUUAUUAGACCGUACACAUAUCUAUUCAUGAAUAUAAGUAUGCUUCUUACAUACAAGAGAUUGAUGAUUUUAAUUACAUUGAAAGCAACUUAGUAGAAUUUUCCAAAUCAAAGAGAGAAAUAUUAAGAUCCAAGUAGGAAUUUCUCUAUUCCUAGUUCGAUUCAAUUAACCAAGCAUAAAUAUCUCUUAAUAUACAUGAGAAGUUUAGACUCUAAAAGUCAAAUCAACAAAAUAUUUAUGGGCUAACACAUGAAAAACUAUUGAGAAAAUCGCCUAAUUUCUGUAAAUUGGCCCUUAAAUCUCCAAAAUGAACUCUAAAAAUUGUCAGACUGUACGUAUUGCUCCCCAACUCCCUACUGAGGGUUCUGUAAAGAUUUCGAUUAGAAUUCGUCCGUAAGUCAUAUCACCAAUAUAUUAAUGACUAACACACACGAAAAACUGAGAAAAUUGUCUAAUUUCUUGAAAUUGGCCCCUAAAUGCCUAAAAUGGACUCUAAAAGUUGUGAGACUGUACGUACUGCUCCCCCGACUCCCUACAGAGGGUUUCGUAAAUGUGUAGCAAAGAAAUCGUCUGGAAGUCAUAUCACUAUAAUAUUAAUGGGCUAACACACACAAACCACUGAGAAAGUCGCGUAUUCCUGUAAAUUGGCCCCUAAAUGCCCAAAAUGAACUCUAAAAUUGUGAGACUAUGUACUGCUCCACUAACUCCCUAUGGAGGGUUCCGUAAAGAUUUCACAAAGAAAUUAUUCGGAAGACAUAUCACCAAAAUAUUUAUGGGCUAAUACAUUUUUAUUUGUCCAUUUGAUUUGACAUAUCUUUCAAGUACUUUGAUCUGGUUAUACUUUUUUUUUAUUGCUAAAAAUAAAUAUCCACUUUUACUUGUUCAUUCUACAAAACAAAGACAAUAUUUUAUUGCUUGAUUCAGAUAUAAAAUUUGAGUAGGCUAAUUUACAAACCAUCUGUAGUCAUCCUGCCCCUAUGCUAUAACAUUUGAAAGAAAGAGGUCAUCAUCAUCAUAUUCAUCAUCGUUGUCAUCUUCAUCAUCAUCUUCAUCAUCGUUGUCAUCUUCAUCAUCAUCUUCAUCUUCUUCAUCAUUAUCAUCAUCAUCAUCAUGAUCGUCAUCGUCACUUGUUUCCUCACUGUUGAAAAAGCCAGCAACAAAAGAUGAAAAAUGAAAUGUUAUGCAAGUAUAACAAGUUACACAAUUACUAUAUUGGAAGGAUUUAAAUCAUAUACAAUGACAACGUAUGAACUUUUACACUAUAGGUGCCAUUUAACUGCUUAUUAAAGCAAUUUAUAAUUAUUUUAUUACUAGUUCUGGACACGUGCUUUGCAUGUGUAUAUUACACGUUUAGUCACGAUUGUAAGAGGGUGUACACCAGGAUCAUUCGAAGAGCAAAGUCGUGUGAGCCUUACAGAUAUUCUUGACGUACUCCUAUUAAAAUCUGUAUCAUAUUCGUAACUUUUUGAAUGAGGUUCACCUUUUUCCUCAUUGUACUUUGUACAUGGAUGUUGUCCAUCACAAUAUCCCCUUUUUCAAAUUUCAUAGCUGAACUACUAGGUGUACGAGUUCCUACCAGAACUACUACCAACUAUUUAUCAAAACACACAUCAACUAUAUAUGAGUUGUUCCCUUUUACUAGUGGUGACAAAUAGGUGGAUUUGGACGGGACUGAAAAUGGAUUGAGCAACAUGGUCGUAACUCACUUAAUCUCUUAAAGCCAGAAAACUUUAAAGAGUUAAUUGAAAUAAACUUAAUGACUAUCCUACUUGAAGUAUCACCGUCGUUCAGGUAAGAAAAAGGAAGUAUAUCAAGGAAGAAGAUGUCUUACAAAGCCUGAUGGAUAUGGACCUCGAUAGAACCUCCAUAGUUGUCUUGAAUGUCCUGUUGAAUCUGCUUUGCGGAAUUCCCAACAGAUUCUGGGCAGUUUCUUAUAUAGAUUAGAGCAAGUGUGGUUAUAUCUGCAAAAUCUUGAGGGAUUGAGUCCAAAAACCUGCAACUAUCAAGAAAUAGUCGUUCAAGGCACGGAAAGUGAUCACAACUAGCUCUCCAGUACUGAAUAUGUGAUCUUUUAAGUAACAAGAACUUCAAAAAAGGAAACCCUUCCUCAGCUACUUCCCACUCCCUGCCUCUGCAUACACCCUGUGUUAGUUCAAGAAGUUCAAGUUUGGGCAAUUUUCCGACAACAAUGCUUAAAUCCUUCCAUGACAAGAAGAAAUUUCCUGUAAAAGUUAAAUUCUUAAGGUUUCGUGGAAAAGCAUCUGGAGGAGGUAAGAUCAAAGAUGGAACAACUUCUACAACAAGUGGAUUCCUUGUCUGAAAACACAUUCUCCUCUCCAAAAAGUAAGCAUUAUUUUGAGGAGGAAGACAAAAUGCUAGUUCCUCGAGAUGAUCUAAGUAGCGAAAAUCAUAGAGGUCUUUGUGACUAUGGAAGUCUUGUGGGAUGCCACGUACUUGCAACUCCUUUAAAUUGGGAAAUAGUCUAAAGAAAGAUGCAGUACAAUAGCUAGGAUUCCAUCCAAACAGAGAAUGUAAAUUUUUCAUAACCAAACUUUUCUCUGUAAGCUCAUGAUAUCGCAAGUAAUUCCGAUCCAAAUGAAGGUGCCUCAACUGUGGCAUUGUCAAAAUAUCUGAUGGUAAUAUCAAAGCAUGUUUACGAAGAUUAAUGACGAGUGGAAGGUAAAGUACCAAACUUUGCAGAUAGCAUAGGUUUGAUAUGGAUGUAGGAAUGUCUACUCUUGAUGAGAGAACAUCUUCUUCGGAUCCUAGAUAUUGCUCAACGUUAGGAUAAAUACGCAAAGCUAGGUGUCUUAAGUGAAUCAAAUAAAGUAUUUCACGGGGAAAAGUUAGACAGAUAUUAUCAGCAAGAUCUAGAACUCUUACUAGCUUGAACGGCAAGUACUCCCUCAUGCAACAUCGGAAUCUACCAAAUAAGAUAACAGAAUGAGCUUCACUGUUAAGGCACCUAACAUACUCUUUCUUAUUAUGGAUGCUGAUUCGACUUCGACUCUUAGACAAACACUGCAUGGAUUUCACAUAUGAAUUUUGAUCAUUCUUUCUUCUGAGAACAUUCACAAAAUUCAUGUUACGAGCUUCCAUCAAACAGAGUUCACGAGUCAUAUCAUGAAUUCCACAACACUUAAUUUUUCCAUCAAAAGUAGUACUUUUAAUGGAAAUUAAACUUCUAUCAAUAAGAUCUUGUAGGUACUUUUCUGCCACUUCUUCUAUGCUUUUCAUCUCUUCUACCUUCAAAAAUCCCUCUGUUUCCCACAAUAUCAUAAGUUUAUUGACAAAAAUCAGUUUAUCCUCUGGGAAGAUUGCGAAAUAUAAAAAGCAUGGUUUUAGGUGGUGAGGCAAGUAAUGGUAACUCAUUGCCAACACCCUCAUGCAUUGGACACCAACAUCUGUGCUUACUGCUGAACUUACAUUUUCAGCAACACUUUGCCACUCACUCAAUGCUUUGUCAAUUUUAGUGAGAAGUCCCGCGAUCACAACAAUUGCUAGAGGCAAUCCUCCGCAUUUCAAUGCAAUUUGCUUUCCAAGUUGUUCAUAUUCAGGGGAGAAAGAGUCUUUCGUAAAGACUUUUUCAUAUAAUAAAUUCCAACUUUCGUCAAAAUUCAUGAGGCGCAUGUGAUGAGGAAGCUUACCUGAGCUAGCAUAUUCAGCCACUUCCACAUUCCGAGUAGUCAAGAGUAUUCGGCUUCCAUUAUGAAAGUCUGGGAAACAUAUUUGUAUAUCAUCCCAAGCUUUUGUAGUCCAUAUGUCAUCAAUGACUACCAAAUAUCUCUUGCCUUUUAGAAGCUUUUGCAGUCGAUCUGCUAGUUGCCCGUCAUGUAGCUGAUCAUAAGGUUUAUCACUUAUACAAGAAAGAAGGUCUAGGAAAACAUUUCUCACACAAUACUCUUGUGAAACAGUAGCUUUUGCACGUAUGUCAAAGCGAUACAUCAUGCAUGGAUCGUUGUAGAGUUUUGUUGCCAAAGUUGUCUUGCCAAUGCCUCCCAUACCUACAAUUGAUACAACUUCUAGUUCUCUUUCUCCUCUAGCAAGUUGAUCCAGCAUCAUCUUGAAUUCAUUUUCAUAGCCAACCAUUAUAACCUCGGACCGCUCAACAGCAAGUUCAGGUAUCUUGGAUAGACAGAAAUUUUGUGCUUUGAAAUCUUUAAUGUUGUUGUACCAGUCCCAUAUUGCCAACCACUGCAUCAUGAAGGAAUCAAUACAUUCUACCUCUUGUUCCAAGGAACAACAGAGUUCCCAGAAAGCUUUGCUUCGUGUAAUUACAGUUUCUGCAGAAGAAACUUUUCUUGAUUUCGAAUCAACCAUGUCUUCUGCUUUGAAUGCUACCUCCGUGAUUUCAACUUCCAAGGUUGUUAACCCCUCAUGAUCGCCCGUUAUAUUGCAGGAUUUCUCUAGAAUAGCUCUCAAAGAUUCGAGCUUUUCAUAAAACGGUUGCAAAUCACAUCCAUUAAGUUCCAUUGAUUGGUGUAUGGUUCUCAUAAGGGAAGUAACAGCAGCAUAAGCCAUAUAUCCAAAAAAUAGGAAUCUCUCACUCUCAGUAUGAAAAUGGACAAAUUAAUUGCCACAAGUUAUGUAAUCUUUCUUUUACUAACUAUUUCCAUCACAUUUCUAGCUAGGUCCACUAACAGGAUAAAGUAGAAAGAUGUGAGGUCACUAACCUUAUCAUCAUGAAGACAAAAGAAGAGACCAAAGUUAAAAAAAAAAAAAGACGAAAAAGUAGAAAAAAUUGUGAUCAUUCAUUAUUAGACCCUACACUAAUCUCUUCAGAAAAAUAAAAUAAAAUUUUAGUUUAAAUAAAGGAAUUCAAGCUGUAUAUUGAUAACGUCCAAUUCAAAUUCAAGUGUAGUACGGUCUAGCAAUAAUAAACUCAACAAAAGUUGGAGUCGAGGAGUACGCUUGUGUCAAGGUGACAGAGAGUGUGCGAAUUUGCUAACAAACAAAAGGUCUUUCUUUUAGCUAGGUCCAUAAUCCAUGUAGUGCUCUAUACUCUCUAGUCUCUAUCAACCAGCUCAAGUUUAAGGGUGUGUUUGGUAUGGAGGAAACAUUUUCUCUAGAAUAGGGAGAGAUUUGUGCAUAAACAAGGAAGAAUCUCUCAGUAUAACAGUGAAUGGGUAUUUUUUUAAGAUUUGCUUCUUUUGUGUAUGACUUUUGUAAGAAACAUUCUGGUAAAAGUUAAAAAAAAUGAUCUUGUGGAAUAGCCACAGUGAAUUCCUUAAUAUUCGAGUAGAAAAAGCCAGAGAGGAUAACAUUGCUAUUUGUACACUUAUCGUGACACGAGUAGUCUCUUAAAUAUUACACCUUUCUACUGAUGUUGCUGAUGCCACUGGAUUUAGCCUUCCGUCUUCCUUUGCAAGGUAGAUCGAGGACUCCCAAGAAAGGAAACACAAGUUACUGGAGUCUGUUCUGGCCUAUACAGUAUGUAUGUACAUAAAAUUUGGAGUAUCUAAAAACCACUGACAAAUGGCUAUACGAAAGAUCAUAUACAAUUAAAUUACAAGCCAUUUGCAAUCAUCCUGCCCCUUUAUGCAGAAUCUUUUCAAAGAAAAUGAAAACGAACAAAACAAACACUCACACAUUUGGCUUCUGAUUUGACAUUUAUUUCAGAGAACUGGCUAGUCGCUGCAGGAAAAAAAAAGACGCAAAAAAUGGAAAAUAAUAUGUUAGAUGUCCCAUAAUUAAGGAACAAGAGAACAUUAUAGCAAGAAUGAGCAUGCAGGUAUAAGAACUUACACAUUAUUGCGGCAAGAAGCAACUUCUUUCUCAAAGUCAUCAUCAUCAUCUUCAUCUGUUGUUACACUAUCGAAAAUGCUAGCUACAAAAGAUGAAAAAUGAAAUGUUACACUUCCCAAAAUCAAGAAUGAGCAUGCAAGUAUAACAAGUUACACAAUAUUGGAAGGAUUCGAAUCAAUCACAAUGACAGCAUCAAGAACUUUUGUUGAAUUGGUGUAAUUUGACUUACUAAAGCUAUUAUCCAGAUUAUUAUCGAGUUUACUAUAAUGAUGAGUUAAAUAUUGUUGUAAAUCAAGGAAGAAGAUGUCUUACUAAAGAUUACGAGUAUGGACCUCGAUAGAGCUUCCAUAGUUGUCUUGAAUGUCCUGUUGAAUUUGCUUGGCGGAAUUCCCAACAGAUUGUUGACAGUAAUGUAUAUCAAUAAGAGCUAGUGUGGUUAUAUCUGCAAAAUCUCGAGGGAUUGAAUCCAAAUACUCGCAAUUUCUAAGAAAAAGUCGUUCAAGGUACGGAAAGUGAUCACUACUAGCUCUCCAGUACCGAAUGUAUAUUUGAUCCAGAAACAAGAACUUCAAGUGAGGAAACCCUUCCUCAACUACUUCCCACUCCUCGCCUAUGACGGCAUUGUGUGAUAGUUUAAGGACCUCGAGUUUGGGUAAUUUACCAACAAUGCUCAAAUCCUUCCAUGCCAAAAGGAAAUCUCCUCUAAAAGUUAAACUCUGGAAAAGAUUAAUUAACAAAAAUUUAUGGUACUAAUUGGGGUAUUAAUUAACAUAUCCUUACUUGAUCACAUAUGUAUUGUUCUGUGUGAAAUUUUCCUCUGACUGAUAGUUGACUAAAUUAUAUUGCAUACGUUCGUGUACAUUUUCUCACUUGGAAGAGUGGAUUUGGACGUAAUUAACUAUCACCAUCGUUUAGGUAGAAAAAAGAAAAUAACUAAUAGUUGAAUGUUUUAAUACAUAGAUGAUCAACUAAUAUGAGAAGAAAAGAGUAGCGUAAAUGUGAGAUUCACUUCUCACCAAGAAUCCUCCUUUCUUAUUAUUUUCCUUUUAGAGGUUAAUAAUUAUUAAGUAUCCCUAGAAUAAUUUAUUGAAAAAGUAGAUUUGAAAGAAAGCAAUUACUCUCUUCUUCCUAUGCGGGACUUCUUGAACAUAACUAAUUUGACAAAAACCACAAUUUUAUUUAUUUUUAGGUGGAAUUAUAUCAAUAAGGAACUAUAUAUGCUUAUGAUAUUAAUCUAAGACCAUUAUUUGUUACUUGAACACAUGGAUUCAUCAUCUGAACAAUUGAAACAAUUAAUACUUGUGUGAACCUUUUUUUAUUUCGAGUGAUGUGUCAUAAUCAUUAGCCAACUAAGACUAGCGUUAAAUUUUUGGUAAGUCUCAAGAAGUGUAAUUAAUACUUAAUAAAAUAAUCUCAUCCUUGAGAUUCAAGAACUUGUUUGGAUUGAAUAGGUUUUUAUCAUCAAGAUCUAGAACAAAGUCUUAAUAUUAGUAAGAGGUAUUUUUGUGUGAAAAGUUUUCUUUGAGGUUCGAGAAAUGGAAUAGAUAUGGACUACAAGUUGAUAUUUCCCAUUGGAAAAUUCACACAAAAAGGAACAAGGAAUUCUCAAUGAAAAAAGCGCUCUCCAAAUCUGUUUAGUAUUUGUCAUGAGGUUCUUAUCAUAAUUGGAUUUUCCUUUUAGGAAAAGGUAAACACAGUCUCCAUAUUUGUCUAGUUCUUUUUCUUGUAGGAAAAAAAUUAUGACUCUAUAAAUAGAUGUUUUGUAACAUCCGACAAUUUGAAAUAGCUAAGAAGAGGCUUGAAAUUUGGAAAUUUUCAAUUUUUGGAAAGGAUUUGAAAAUCUGGAAAAUUUGGCUAAGUAUGGGAAAGGUGAGUUUUUUUGGGCCCAAACUUUGAACAACCAUAAAUUCUAGCUCAGGAUGAGUUAGGUGGAGUUCCGGUUAUGUUUGCAUAGCCCUCGGAACGACCUUUCCAACGCCACUGAGUUUGCUCAAUUCUGAGUUCGUAUGAGCGAGUUAUGGCCAUUGAAAGUUGGGCAGUUGGCAGGGAAUCCGUCCGGAAAAUUAAGGGCAUUUUAGUCUUUUCCCUAGCCAAUUCUUUUGGGAUUAUAUUGUUGUAUAGGGCUGAUCUUUAGAUCAUUUUGUCCCAUUUUAAGAAAUUAAAAUCUAGGGCUUGAGAGUGAAGAAGAGAAGAAGGAGAAGAAGAAGAGAAAAAUCGAGGAGAUCAACAAGUUUCCGACAAGAUCAUCGUGAAUGUUCGUCGGGGGUGAUCCCUAUCAAGGUAUGUGAGCUUUUAGUGUUGGGUGAUACUUUCCCCCACACACCUAGCCCCUUUUAUUUAUUAAGGAAGGAUUGGUUAUGUUGUUAAAGUUGUUAGUUGUUGUGGUUGAAGUUGUUGGAGUUGUUAAAGUUGUUAGUUGUUGUUGUUGGAAUUAUUGUUGGUGGUGGGACAUAAUUGAGUUGUGUUUUUAUGUUGAAAUCUAUUGAAUGUUGAGGGAUUUUAUGUUUCUAAGUGAUUGGGGGCUGGAAUCUUUGAGGUUAGAGGGUUUAGAGUUGGUAACGUGAAGGAGAAAGUCGGGUAGCUUGCGAGGAGCAUGUCUGCGUCGCGGACUUGUUCCUCUGUGAACAAAAAAUCUUCUCCGCGUCGCGGACAGGACGCAGACUCCACUGUUUUCAGAAUUUAUGUUCGAAGAUUUUCUUAGGUUUGGCUGUCCCAAAUCAUUCGCAAAUCAUUCCUAAACAUCAUGAGACCCUUCCAAACACCAAUCAAGUCCUUGAAUCCAUAAUCCAAUUCAAGGUGAGUUAUGAUCAAGUCAAGUGAAGUUAGUUUUCAAGUCAAGUGAAGUUAGAAGUCAAGUGAAGUUAGAGCCAAGCUUAGAAGUUAAGCAAGUCAAAGCAAGUCUUUAAAGCUUUUCAAGAGUCUUCAUUGAACGUUUUGACUUCAUUCUAAGGCUCAAGUUCCAAGUUAAGUAUAGAGUUUCAAGUCAAGCAAAGAGUCUCAAGUUUCAAGUUAAGUAAAGAGUAUCGAGUUUCAAUUUAAGUCAUAAUUUUUCAGUCAAGAGUCAAGAGUUGAGUUCAAUUCUCAAAAGUAAUUAGGGAACUAAGUAUUUCCCAAAGAAGUUUUAUAAGUGUUUUCACAUUUAAGUUGAGAGGAAACGGAGAUUUCCAAAAGAGUUUUGAGAAGUUUGAGCACUAUCUCUUUUAAAAGAAAAGAUGAGUUUUUGAAAAAGAGUUUCUAAAUUAUGAUUAGUAUGACAAAUGGAGUAUGUCAUCAAUGUUUAAACAGUAUGGUCUCUAGAUAUACCAUCAAUGUUUAAGCAGUAUGAAUAUCCCGAGUCAUCAAUGAUCAUAAAAAAAAAAAAUGUGGUUUUGACUUGUUCUAUUUAGAAAGAGUUUUCAAGUGCCUUCGGGCUAAGUUUUGAGUAAUUAUCUCAACUAAAGAAAGAUGUGCUUAAAACACUUAUGAGCUAAAGUAUUUUGGGAGUAGUAUCGAGCACCGAAUUGGGGAAACGAGUUCAUAUUAAACUCAACUCUCCAUAAGAACCAUGUAGCCAAACAUGGGAUUUCUCGGAUCAUACUUUUUAGAUGAUCACGAAAGUUAAGCUAGUGGAUCCAUUAAGCAAAAGUUAAAGUAAGGUCCUAUAUCGAUGGCAAGGUAUAGGAUGGUCCUUGGGCAACGUGAGGUAAAACGUUGUAUCACCACUCAGAUUCAUAGUGGUGGUUUGUCGGUUAGAGAAGCUCCCACAGUAGAAAGAGCAUGGUUCCUCGAGGGUUCUGCUUAGUAUGGAUGGGGGUAUGGGACUUCAUUCAUGCAUUGCACAAGUAGACUUUGAGAGGAAGCAUGGUAUUUUUAUGAUAUUAUAAAUAUGAUUUUUACGUCAUGUUUUAAUAGUUUCAAAAGCUUUAUAUAUAUUGCAUGUGUCUCAUUGCUUUAUAUUAAGUUCAGUUAUUCUUGAGUUGUACAGAGCCAAGGUAAGUUCUCUUUUGUAUCCCUUUUCAAGCUUAAGUUGUUGUUUAGCGGUCCAGCUCGCAUACUCGUACAUUCCAUGUACUGAUGCCAGUUGGCCUGCAUCUUAUGACGAUGCAGACACNNNNNNNNNNNNNNNNNNNNNNNNNNNNNNNNNNNNNNNNNNNNNNNNNNNNNNNNNNNNNNNNNNNNNNNNNNNNNNNNNNNNNNNNNNNNNNNNNNNNNNNNNNCAGUCAGUUAGUUUUGAGUCUCUCAUCUAUGUAUAUAUGUAAAUAUUCUAUUUUGAGACUCGAGUGGCCUUUUUGGCCAGAUGUGUAUCAUUUAAGUUGUUUAUGUCUUUGCAUGGCAUUGAGUUAUUCUGUUGAGUAGGUUUCCGCUGAGUUAAGAAAGCCAGGCCAAGGGUUCGCUUGGGGCCAGCAAUGGUCUCUGAGUGCCGGUCCCGCCCAGGGUGUAGGCUCGGGGCGUGACAUGUUUAUUCAUUCUAGCUUGGUAGCAUUCAUAAUGCAAUCCUAGGGGGCUUUGAGAGUUUUGUGUAUUGUGUGAAGCUAGAGGAAGAAUGUAUGAGACACAAGUAUUACUUUAACACUUGUGUGAACCUCUUUGUAUUCAGAGUGAAUUGUGUGAGGUUAUUCUUCUCUAGAUUUUAUAGUGAUUUUUUCAUCUCCUCUUGUGGAUGUAGAUCGGUUGACCGAACCACGAUAAAUGUUUGUGUCUUUUGAUAUAUUUCUUGUUUGUCUUAUUACUCAUCGUCUUUCAAGGUUUGCUUUGCUAGCUUUUGCAUGACACCUAAUUAUUUCAGUCCCAACAAGUGACAUCAGAGUCAGGUUCAAUGGUUUAAUGAUUCAAUGGUCGAACCAUGUUAAAAAUAAGUGUUCAUCUUGACGGGUUUAGUUCUAGCCGUAACAUAUUUGACAGUAAUGAAGAUUUUUGUUGGAGAAAUAUUUUCAAAGAUGUUUUCUGUGUUGAUAUAUAUAUAUAUAUAUAUAUAUAUAGAUUUUGCAGAGGAGAUGCAAGGUAUUGAAGAUUAUGUGAAGAAGGUGGAUCAAAUUUAUUUUGUCAGAAAUUUAGGCCAAUGGAGAUAUUUGUUUAGUAUUUGUCAUGAAUUUCUUAUCAUAAUUGGGUUUUUUCUUUUAGAAAAAGGAAACCACAAAGUUUCCAUAUUUGGCUAGUUCUUUUUCUUGUAGGAAAAUGUUUGACUCUAAAAUUAUAUGUGUAUUCCUUCUAGCCUAAUAGCAUUUACAAUGUAGUCCUAAGGGGCAUAGAGAGUUUUGUGUAUUGCGUGUAGCUAGGGGGAGAAUGUGUGAGACACAAGUGUUACUUUAACACUUGUGUAAACCUCUUUGUUUUUCCAUUGAAUUGUGUAAGGUUAUUCCUCUCAAUAUUUUGUACUUUCUUUUAUAUAGUGAAUUGCUCAUAUCCUCUUUUGGAUGUAGGUCGGUUGUCCGAACUACGUUGAAUAUUUAUGUCUUUUGGUAUAUUUUUCGUUUGUAUUAUUACUCAUGGUCUUUCAAAAUUUGCUUUGCUAGCUUUUGCCUGAUACCUAAUAAUUUCAGUCCCAACAAAACCAAACGUGAAAGUUGUUUUCCAGCAGACAACUUUUCUAGUAGCUCUACUCUCGACUUGGAUAAUUUAACCAAAAAGGUACGCUUUCGGCCAUUCUACAUGCUGCCUAUGUAGAGACAUGUUUAUCUAAAGUGGAUUCUCUUUUUUGUAGUAGGUAUCAAACCUGUUAUGCCCAUUGACUAAGAAGCUAGGGGUGGACACAACAACUACAUGGACCUCUUUCUUACAUCGGCCAUCACUAUUAAUCGUCUUUGUUAUCACAAUGACCACCACUAUUACCGUCAUCAAACAUCUCUGUCCUCACAAUUACCAUUAUUAUCAACCACUACUAUAUAUCAAACAUUUGCUAUAUUUAUGUUUUUUAUUGACAUAAACAAUGGGUUAACAUGAUAUAAUUUAUUAGUAGUUUUAUAUAUUUUUCUUAUAAUAAAGGAAACAAUCACUUAUACAUUCUUUGAGAUCAUUUAGUUUAAAAUCAGGAGUGGAAUCAUAACUAGGGUUAUAGCUUAGCAUCAAUUCACCUUCUUAAUUAAUGGGAUAAUUUAAUUAGCUAAAUUUGAAUGAAAAGAAGAAGAAAUUGAUUAAUUUAAUUCGUUUACGUUCCAAUGGGGUGUGCAAUAUCCAUAAAUUUGUCAUGUCGUUAUUAGGUGUUCAUGAGAUGCACAUAUUCCAAGCAAAAGUACCUAUUUGAUCACUAGAUGAGUUUAAGUAUUCAAUUUACAAAUUCUGCCAAAUUUGAGGGACUAUCUAGGUAUUAUUUAGAUAAAAUUAUUUGUAUAGUCCACUCUAAACAUACUUAUAAUUAAGCAAGUAACAUAUACUAUAUAAAGAAGCUUCUAGAGAUAAUUAAAGUUAACUCUAUAUAAUUAGAGUUGCAAUAACAAAUACGUCAAAACAUUAAAGUGUUUCACCAAUAAAGUCAUUUUUUUAAUGUCCAAAACUAAUCCAAUGGAAGCUCUAUUAUGUGGAACACCAGAAGAAGUUUCAGUAUUGUUGGUACAUCAUGAAGUAGAAUUUCUUACUAAUCAGACUGUUAAAUUGUUAGAGGCUUAUAAAUACAAAGGUGACAUUCUAGAAUUUUUUUAACUUUUUUGUUUCUUUGAUAUAAUAACUAAAUGCCGUGUGACAUUUUUUUUUAUAUAUAGAGAGAGAUUGAAAUGAUAUGCUUUUUGUUAUCUCAUUUAUGAUUUUAGCAUCGUCCAUUUUUAAAUUUCAUUUAUCUUGUAAAUCUUGAACUUUUCUUUUUCCUUGUUAUCAUAGCACUUUUUAAUUUUUACAAAUUUAUCUAUCCUCGAAGAAAAAUAAUUCUACAUUAGUGAUGGAUGCACAAGAAAUUAGGAUGACGGGAGGGAAGAGAAAGAGCACGAAAAAGACAUGAUAAGAGAUGAUCUGUCUAUCAUUAUUACUUGAGAUAAUAUUUUUUUGUCUUUUAUUGGAUGUAUAAAAAAAAAUGAGGAGAUCUAAUUUUCAUUAAAAAAACAUUUCCCUUUCUAUUUUUUGUUUUUGUUUUUCGUUGGACGUAGACAAAAAAUUGGCAACUCCUUUCUUAUACUUUGUUAGAUCAUCUAAUUACAUAUCUAUGAAAUAAAAUUACCUCAAAACAUUUUAUCCUAUUAUCUUUUGCUUUAAUAUUUAUUUGUUUUUGACAAGCCAUAAAUAAAUUGGAAUAGUUUUUAGAAAUAUAUUCUUUAGGAUCUUCUCUAGUUUUUAGUAAUCCAAUUAACGAAAAAAAAAAACUAAUAUAUACUUUUUAUGUAACCAAUCUAGUUAAGAUUGCACUCAUCAUUUAUAAUAUAAGUUGAUUAAUAUGUGUUAUUUUAAAAAUUAAAGUGCAGAAAUAUAACAUGAAAAUUCACAGUUGAAUUUGAAUAACAAACAAACAUAUCCAAAUGAUACCUUUGUGUACAAUAUUUUUUUUUUCAUAAUUUUCACUGAUUUCAAAUUGCACGGGUAUAUGUAGUUACGGAAGUUAUGGCUCCUGCGGCAAUGUCAAUGCUUUUCAAAGAAAAGAAAAAAAUUGAUGCAAUGAUAAUCAAGGUCAUUUCACCGGAUUCACAUUGCUUUGAGCUCCUGGCACAAGCUGUAACCUUGAACAUCAUCGUAGUAAGUAAGUAUUUAUAAUUCUAUCUUCCACUUAUUAUUAUAGACGGUAAAGUAAGUUUUUUUAAUUAACUAUUGCAUAAUGUAUAUAAUAUUAUUCAAUUUUAAUUGCUAUCUUCUUGAUAUAAUUAUGCAGUUGUCUAUGAUGAACUCAAUGAAUUCUUAGUGAAGAAAGCUUUGGACAAUGGAGCUUACAUUUGCUCGAAGAAGCCUCUUGUCGAGCAAACUAUGACAUUCUUGUGGCAAUUUGUAUGGAGGGAGAAAACACAAAGAGGGAAAUCAAUAAAAAGAGUAGAAACAAAGGGAGAUCAUAUUUUUGUUUGAAGUUAUUGGAGUUCUGAGAAAACAAUAGGUCGUGGUUUUUUCCUCCCUUGAGCAAAGAGGUUUCCACGUUAACAUAUGUGUUCUUACUUUAAGCAUUUAGAUUACUUCUUGUUAUCAGUAUAGUCAAGUGGUCAGAACACGAGAAGACAUGUCACUAAACAACAACAUAUAUAGGAAAAAACAAACUCUGCUAAGUGAUCGAUCCGUGUGUGAUAGUUGCCUUCUUAACCUUGAACUAUUGCUUCCUGCUAGAUUAUAUGAACUUAGAUAUGUAUACAAAUUAGUAUUCAAUGAGUUCCCAAACAUUCGUGCAUAAACAAUUUCCCCUGUUGUCGUGCCACCAGGACUUAGCAUAUGUUCUGUAUUUGUAUAAUUUCGAUGAUGAUCAUGAGAUUGCUGGGAUAAUGGAGGCAUAUUAUUAUUGUGUAUUAGACCGUGACUCCUACAUCUCGAACUAGGAGGUCUUUGUGGUAUGACUAUACCAAAAUUCUAUACCAAAAUUCGGGGCCUUAAUUUCAGAUGUUUUUGUAGCUUGACAGCGACCAUAGAGUGGAAUCAAUGUUUUUUGUGAGACUUCAGCUUUGCAAACAGGGCAAUUUGGUUGUUGGUUAUCGAUGUUCUCUGAUGAAAUGGUCUUAAAAUGUAUCCAUUUGUAGAUGCAAGGCCAACAAUAGGAGGUGACCACAUAAUGUAACAACAGGAUCAUGUACAACAUCUAGGCAAAUGUUGCACUCGAAACCUCCAGGUGAAUUUUCUUCAAGUUUAUCAAGAUCAAUUGUCUCCAUUUUUCAAAGGAAAUAUCGCGUUGAUCAAAGGUAGUUUCUGCUAUUUGGUCUUGAAAAAUUUGUUCUAAGGCCAUAUUUGCCUCUUGGUAUUGAAUUAUUUUGGUAAUGGCAAGAUGAAGAAUGGUUAGAAUUCAGGUUUUUAAUACAAUUAGAAGUGAGUAUUUAUAAGGACAAAGAAUAGUAGUUUGCAAACAAUGAUUCUUAAGGUUGUCACUUGUCAACAUCACAUUAUGUUAAAGGGGCAUGGCCAAAAAGAAAAGGCCCUACACAUUAUUAAACAACACUAUAUCAUAUUACUCAACAGUCUUGAUUUAUGGGGUAUUGUUUGAUUUGAUAUAACAUUUAAUAAGAAAAUGAAGACUUUUAAAAUAUGUACUGUAUUAAAGAUAAAAAAUAAAUUUUAAGUUUUUCGAUCCUAGAAAUGAUAUUCUUUUUAUAUUAAGACUAAAACAAAUGUUUUACAUAAAUUAAGAUAGAUGAACUAUCAAACACAUCAUAAUUAAGUGAUUUAAUGAAGUCAAAAAUAAAUAUUAAUGGAUCAUGGUUAAGUGAGAGGAGUUUUGUGCAAACACGUCUUUUAUCUAUCUAUUUGAUUUAAACAAGCAUAAGUUUUAUCAUAUUAGAAAUAUGAUUAGGACCUUAUAUUAGGCCCCAUGAUAGGAAUCUUAAUCUAGAAAAUAACUUUUAGUCAAUAAAAAGUAGCACUAGUUGCGUACAAGGAGCUACCACUUGAUGACCUUCCACACUUCCACAUCCCAUAAGUUCAAUAGUUUUCACACUAUAAGAACUAGAUGUUUUUUUCCGCGUGAAUCAAUAAAAUUUUUAGUUUUAUGUUAUAAAACAUGAUUUUUUUCAUUUUGAUUUUAUUAAACUAAUUCACUAAGAAAAUUCAUAACGAAACAUAAGUUCUCAUUGAAAUACUGGAAAUAGUCACUUGGAAAUUUAUGAGUUUUAGGAAAUUAUGCAUCAAAACUUAGAAAGACGCGGCUCAUAUAGAAAUUUGUUGUUAAAUCAUAAUAUAUACUUUUACAUCUGAAUAUCUUUAUUGAUUUGGUUAAAAUUAUAAUUAAAAAAAUUACAAUACAAUAUAUAUAGAUUCACAUAAAUUUAAUACUGUAAGUUCAAUUAUUAUUCAAUUAUUAUUAUGAUAUAUUAAUCUAAAAUUAUUAUAGAAGCUUCUAAACUCUAAAUUCAGAUCCAACUAAGGAGUGAAUAUACAUAGUGGGGGUCUGGGGGAUGGGAGAAAACAUAUGGACGGUGUGACAAAUAAAUAAAAGAAAUACUCCGUCCAUUCCAUUUGACUUAGUAUUGUUUGACUUAAUACGAUGUAUAAGAGAAAAAAAAGAUUUUAGAAAAUUAUAGGCUAAAACAAUUUUUAUAUAUUUAUAUAAUUGUAAAUCAUUUCAUUAAUUAAGGGUAGAUGGAGAAUUUUAAGUUUAAUUAUUUUCAAUUACAAUAAAAUGACAUUUUUAAAGACGGAUUAUGAGAAUAGAGUGCCACGUAAAAUAAAACGAGAAAAUACUACUCCCUCCUUCCCAUUUUAUAUGUUACCUUUUUACUUUACAUUUACAUUAAGAAAUAAUGUAACUUUACCCUUCUACCCUUAUUUAAUGUUUUCUUAAGUUAACUUUAUAACUCCCUCCGUCCCAUUUUAUAUGUCAUCUCUUUCUAUAAAUAGUUGGACCACAAUACUUGUCAUUUUAUAAAAUUUAUGUAUAAAUUACCAUAUUUUACCUAUUAUAUCCUUGAUAGAGUAGUUAAUUAAUCUUGAAAAUAUAUUCAUCAUUUAUUAUAAAUUGACUUAAGAAAAUAUUAAAUAAGAAUAGAAAGAUAAAAUUACAUCAUUUCUUAAUAAAAGUAUAAAGUAAAAAUGUGACGUAUAAAAUAGAACGGAGGGAGUACUACAAAAGAACGAGUCCGCACAUGCAUUAUACAAGUACUACAUGUGUCUCGAAUUUAGCAGCCUUUUGUCAACUUUUUAUAUUUUGGCUUACUUGGAAGCAAGUCUAUCCUCUCCUAUACAAUCAAUUAGGGUGGCCAUUAAUCAUAUAUUAUUAGGCUAAAGAUAACAUAUUGCUCCCUCCGUUUUUAAUUAUUUAUCCAUUUUUUUAGUUAUUCCUAAUUACUUGUCUAUUUUUACAAAUCAAGAAAGAACAAUUUUUUUUACCUAUUAUACCGUCAAUUUAUUACUUUGAAAAAAGUAGAACUUUUUGAAAAUCUUGAGUUUUUAAUUCAUCCACUUCAUAAUUAAUAUGGAUAAAAUGGUAAACUCACUAUUUCAAUAAUUGUUUUCUUAAUAGGUGUGCCAAUUCAAAAAUGGACAAGUAAUUAGGGAUAGAGAAAGUAUAUCGAAAUAAUAUAAUAAGAUAUUAUGCUAAAGAUAAUUAACAAAACUUUGAACAAUUAUAAAUAAGAUAGCAAAAAAAUCCAUAGUAAAUUAACAUGGUUCAACGAUUAGUGAUGGAAUCUGAAUAUGAUUCAGGAUUUUCACUAUUAAUGAAAUUCAAAAGGAAUAAUACAUAAAUGUGCCCUUUAACUUGACUUCAUUUUAUGUUUAUGUCCUUCAACUUUGGGUAUACACAAAUAUGCACCUAAACUUGUAUAAAGUUGAACAACUAGACACAUGAGUCCUACAUGACACAAUACACAUAAGAUACCACGUAGGAUAAAAAAUGCCAUGUAGGACAUGUGUGUCUAUUUUUUCAACUUUAUACAAAUUUAAAUAUCUACUUGUGCACACCCAAAGUUGAAGGGCAUAAAUGUGAUUUGAAGCCAAGUUAAAGGGUAUAUUUAUGUAUUAUGCCUAUUCAAAAUAUGAAUAAAUAAACAUAUAAAUUAGCUGACUACAAUAAUAGACAGAUAAAAAAUAAUUUUAACUAUAUGUAUAAAUAAUAUAAUUUUUCAUCGAAAGAGGUUCAUCUGAUUCCUCACUACUUUCUCUCAUUCAAAACUAAGCAAUAUGAGACUUUCAUGUCACAUGGAACCCUUUUUUUUUUUUUUGGAAAUCUCAGUAGUUCAGUUAAUUGACUGACUAUCUGAAUUCUCGAUUUCCCAUGUUGUAAUCCUCUACCCCAAUUUUUUUAUUACCUUCCUCACAUAUGUAUAAGACCGAAUCCAAAUAUCUAAGAUGAGAGAAUUUUGGGAGAGCCACCGACUCCAACUACUGCCAUAUAUUAUCCAUAUUAGAUUUGACCAACUAUCCAUCCUACCCUCCUCUACGUUCUUGACAACCCAUUUUUGUCUUAGUCAAGUCUUUUAGUGGCACGUUUUGAUCCUCUUUUCAAUUACUUAGAAAAAGUGAGUUAUUAUUCAGAUACAAAAUACUAUCAUUAUCGCCUAAAAAAUUAGACAUUCAACCCGUAAUCACAAUGAUCCAAUUACAAAAGCUCCGAACCCCCUAGGUCUAGACUGGCUCUGGCCCUAGUUUUAUCUCUUGACCUUCACAUGAGUAAACUCGUUGAUAUAGAGGAUUACAGUAUUGAUUUCUUUAAAAGAAAAAAACCUUAAUUUAAGGUAUGGAGGCCUAGAAAGGAAACACACGUUAUAUAUGGAGCCUGUUCUGGCCUAUACAGUAUAUAUGUACAUAAAAUUUGGAGUAUCUAAAGAACCACUGACAAAUGGCUACGAAAGAUCAUAUACAAUUAAAUUACAAGCCAUUUGCAAUCAUCCUGCCACCUUAAGCAGAAAAAAUGAAAACGAAUAAAACAAACACUCACACAUUUGGCUUCUGAUUUGACAUUUAUUUCAGAGAACUGGCUAGUCCUCAGAACACCUUAACUACUCGCUGCAGAAAAAGAAAAAAAAGACGCAAAAAAUGGAAAAUAAUAUGUUAGAUGUCCCAUAAUUAAGGAACAAGAGAACAUUAUAGCAAGAAUGAGCAUGCAGGUACGUAUAAGAACUUACACAUUAUUGCGGCAAGAAGCAACUUCUUUCUCAAAGUCAUCAUCAUCAUCAUCAUCUUCAUCUGUUGUCACACUAUCGAAAAUGCUUGCAACAAAAGAUGAAAAAUGAAAUGUUACACUUCCCAAAAUCAAGAAUGAACAUGCAAGUAUAACAAGUUACAAAAUAUUGGAAGGAUUCGAAUCAAUCACAAUGACAGCAUCAAGAACUUUUGUUGAAUUGAUGCAAUUUGACUUACUAAAGCUAUUAUCCAGAUUAUUAUCGAGUUUACUAUGAUGAUGAGUUAAAUAUUGUUGUAAAUCAAGGAAGAAGAUGUCUUACAAAAGAUUCACGAGUAUGGACCUCGAUAGAGCUUCCAUAGUUGUCUUGAAUGUCCUGUUGAAUUUGCUUGGCGGAAUUCCCAACAGAUUGUUUACAGUCACUUAUAUCAAUAAGAGCUAGUGUGGUUAUAUCUGCAAAAUCUCGAGGGAUUGAAUCCAAAGAAUAGCAAUCUUUAAGAAAAAGUCGUUCAAGGUACGGAAAGUGAUCACUACUAGCUCUCCAGUACCGAAUGUAUACUCUAUCCAGAAACAAGAACUUUAAGUGAGGAAACCCUUCCUCAACUACUUCCCACUCCUCGCCUAUGAAGGCAUUGUCUGAUAGUUUAAGGACCUCGAGUUUGGAUAAUUUACCAACAAUGCUCAAAUCCUUCCAUGCCAAAGAAAAUUUUCCCCUAAAAGUUAAACUCUUAAGGUUUUGUGGAAAAGCAUCCGGAGGAGGUAAGAGUAAAGUUGGAACAUCAGUUGGAGGUGCAGUUCCCCCGAAACGAGUCUGAAACCUCAGAGGAUCUUGCGGAGUAGAACCUGAAGGUGCAGUGUUUUUUAGAAAGCAAGCAAUAGGUGAAUAAUAAAUACCAAAUGUCAAUUUCUCGAGCUGAUAUAAGUAGCGAAAAUCAUACAGGUCCUUGUGAUUGCGAAAGUCCUCUGGGACGCCAAAUACUUUCAACUUCUUUAAAUUGGGAAAUAGUCUAAAAAAAGACCCUGUACAAUACCGAGGAUUCAAUUGAUUGAGGCAUUGCAAACUUUUCAAAACCAAUCUGUUCUCUGUAGGCUCAUGACUCUGCAAGUAAUUCCAGCCCAUAUGCAGCUUCCUCAAUUGUGGCAUCGUCAAAAUUUCCGAUGGUAAUAUGAAAGGAUAACUACUAUUGGGAAAUGGAAGGUAAAGUUUAAAAGUUUGCAGAUAGCAUAGGCUUGAUAUCGAUAGAGGAAUGUCUAUUAUUGAUGAGGGAACAGCUUCUUUCGAUCCUCGAUACUGCUUUAAGCAAGGCUUAAAACACAAAGAUAGGUAUCUCAAAUGAAAUAGAGAAAGUACUCCACUGGGAAAAAAUGGGCAUAUAGUCAAACCAAGAUCUAGUACUCUUACUAGCUUGAAAGACAAUGCCAGUGUGACGCAUUUGAAUCCACCCAACAUGAUAAUAGAAUGAGCCUCACUGCUACAACACCAAACCAAUUUUUUCUCAUUAUGGAUUCUGAUCCGAUUUCGACUCUUAAAGGAACACUGCAUGGAUUGUUCACAUGAAUUUUGAUAACUCUUUCCUCUGAUAACAUUCACAAAAUUCAUGUUUCGAGCUUCCCUCAAACAGAGUUCACGGGUCACAUCAUGCAUUCCACAACUUUCUAUUGUUCCACGAAAACUAAAAUUGUGGAUGAAAAUUAAGCUUCUAUCUAUAAGUUCAUUUAUACAUGUUGUUGCCACCUCUUCUAUGCUUUUUCCCUCUUCUUCAUUCAAAAACCCCUCUACGGCCCAUAAUUCAACAAGUUUAUUUACAUAAAUCUGUUCAUCCUCUGCGAAAAUUGCAAAAUACAGAAAACACGGUUUUAGGUGAGAAGGCAAGUGAUGGUAACUCAAAGCCAACACUCUCAUGCACUUUGCUUCAAGAUCUGUGCUUACCACUGAACUUACAUUCUCCGCAACAUAUUGCCACACACCCAAUGUUUUACUGAUUUUGGAGAGAAGUCCAGCAAUCACAGUAAUUGCUAGAGGUAACCCUCCACAUUUUAAUGCAAUUUGUUUCCCAAUAUUUUCAAAUUCAGGAGAAUAAGAACCUUCUUUUUCAAAGAUCUUUUUGUGUAGUAAAUUCCAACUUUCGUCAAAAUUCAUGAGGCGCAUGUGAUGAGGAGGCUUACCUGACCUAGCACAUUCAGCCACUUCCACAUUCCGAGUAGUCAGGAGUAUUCUGCUUCCAUUAUAACAGUCUGGGAAACAUAGUUUUAUAUCAUCCCAAGCUUCUGUAGUCCAUAUGUCAUCAAUGACUACCAAGUAUCUCCUGCCUUUCAGAUGCUUCUGCAAUCGGUCCGCUAGCUGAUCAUCAGGUUCAUCACUUAUCGAAGGAAGAAGGCCUAGGAUUACAUUUCUCACACAAUACUCUUGUGAAACAGUUGCUUUUGCACGAAUAUCAAAUCGAGACAUAAUGUAAGGAUCACUAUAGAGUUUUGUAGCCAAAGUUGUUUUCCCGAUACCUCCCAUCCCUACGAUUGAGACAACUUCUAGUUCCCUUCCUCCUCUAGCAAGUUGAUCCAGCAUCAUCUCAAAUUCAUUUUCACGGCCAACCAUUAUAUUCUCGGGCUGCUCAACAGCAUGUUCAGGUAAACUGACAAGUGAGCUAGUUUGUGGUUUUAGAUCUUUCAUGCUGUCCGAUGCUGCCAUCCACUGUUUCACGGUGGAAGCAAUGCAUUCUAGUGCUUGUUCCAAGACGAAAAAAAUCUCCCACAUAGCCCUGCUUCUUUCCUCCAAAUUCUGUGCUAAAAAAACAUUUCUUGAUUCCGAGUCAACCAUAUCUUCUGUUGUGUAUGCUACCUCUGCGAUUUCAACUUCCAAGAUUGUUAACCCCUCAUGAUCGCCCAUUAUAUUGCAGGAUUUCUCCAGAAUAGCUCUCAAAGAUUUGAGCUUUUCAUAAAACGGUUGCAAAUCACAUCCAGUAAGUUCCAUUGAUUGAUGUAUGGUUCUCAUAAGGGAAGUAACAGCAGCAUAAGCCAUAUAUCCAAAAAAUAGAAAUAUCUCUCAGUAUGAAAAUGGACAAAUUGCCACAAGUUAUGUAAUUUUUCAGUUUUUAAGAAAACAGAAAAUGCAAAGUUCUUUCUUUUACUAGCUAUUUCCAUCACAUUUCCAGCUAGGUCCACCAACCUUAUCAUCAUGUAGACAAAAGCAGAGACCAAAGUUAAAAAAAAAAGAAAAAAGGCAGGACUCUAACAGGAAAAAGUAGAAAAAAUUGUGACCAUUCAUUAUUAGACCCUACACUUAUCUAUUCAUGAAUAUAGGUAUGUUUCUUACAUACAAGAGAUUGAUGAUUUUAAUUCCAUUGAAAGCAACUUCGUAGAAUUUUCCAAAUCAAAGAGAGAGAAAUAUUAAGAUCCAAGUAGGAAUUUCUCUAUUCCUAGUUCGAUUCAAUUAACCAAGCAUAAAUAUCUCUUUAAAUAUAUAUGAGAAGUUUAGACUCUAAAAGUCAAAUCAACAAAAUAUUUAUGGGCUAACACAUGAAAAACUAUUGAGAAAAUUGCCUAAUUUCUGUAAAUUGGCCCUUAAAUCUCCAAAAUGGACUCUAAAAAUUGUCAGACUGUACGUAUUGCUCCCAACUCCCUACUAAGGGUUCUGUAAUUUCGAUUAGAAUUCGCCCGUAAGUCAUAUCACCAAUAUAUUAAUGACUAACACACACGAAAAACUAAGAAAAUUGUCUAAUUUCUUGAAAUUGGCCCCUAAAUGCCUAAAAUGGACUCUAAAAAAUUGUCAGACUGUACGUAUUGCUCCCAACUACCUACUAAGGGUUCUGUAAUUUCGAUUAGAAUUCGCCCGUAAGUCAUAUCACCAAAAAUAUUAAUGGGCUAACACACACAAAACACUGAGAAAGUCGCCUAUUCCUGUAAAUUGGCCCCUAAAUGCCCAAAAUGAACUCUAAAAUUGUGAGACUAUGUACUGCUCCACUAACUCCCUAUGGAGGGUUCCGUAAAGAUUUCACAAAGAAAUUAUUCGGAAGAUAUAUCACCAAAAUAUUUAUGGGCUAAUACAUUUUUAUUUGUCCAUUUGAUUUGAUAUAUCUUUCAAGUACUUUGAUCCGGUUAUACUUUUUUUUUAUUGCUAAAAAUAAAUAUCCACUUUUACUUGUUCAUUCUACAAAACAAAGACAAUAUUUUAUUGCUUGAUUCAGAUAUAAAAUUUGAGUAGGCUAAUUUACAAACCAUCUGUAGUCAUCCUGCCCCUAUGCUAUAACAUUUGAAAGAAAGAGGUCAUCAUCAUCAUAUUCAUCAUCGUUGUCAUCUUCAUCUUCAUCUUCAUCAUCAUCUUCAUCUUCAUCAUCAUCUUCAUCAUCAUCUUCAUCUUCUUCAUCAUUAUCAUCAUCAUCAUCAUGAUCGUCAUCGUCACUUGUUUCCUCACUGUUGAAAAAGCCAGCAACAAAAGAUGAAAAAUGAAAUGUUAUGCAAGUAUAACAAGUUACACAAUUACUAUAUUGGAAGGAUUUAAAUCAUAUACAAUGACAACGUAUGAACUUUUACACUAUAGGUGCCAUUUAACUGCUUAUUAAAGCAACUUAUAAUUAUUUUAUUACUAGUUCUGGACACAUGCUUUGCAUGUGUAUAUUACACGUUUAGUCACGAUUGUAAGAGGGUGUACACCAGGAUCAUUCGAAGAGCAAAGUCGUGUGAGCCUUACAGAUAUUCUUGACGUACUCCUAUUAAAAUCUGUAUCAUAAUAUCUGAUGAAAUCAGCUACUGAUCAGUCAAGCUCUCCAUUGAUGUAGACUUCAACUACACAUGAGAAAGAAUGAGAGAAGAAGAGAGAAGAGAAGAGAAGAAGAAUCUAGAAGAGCAACAUGAAAAUUAAUCUCUCAUUGAAUGUGAAUUAAAACUACAAGAAUUACAAUGUGACUAUAUAUAUAUAAUCACUGGCAGAAAUUAACUAACUAACAAACUUGAUUCUAACUAACUCUACUGUACAUAGAUUCUAACUAACUCUACUGUACAUAACCGACUCUACUGUACAUAACUAACUAAUUAUACUUUAUAUUCUCAUCACCCCCCCUCAAGUUGGAGGUGAUGUAAUUACAGACAACUUGUGCAAUAAGGCAGUAUGUUUAACUCCAGUCAGAGCCUUGGUGAAGAUGUCUGCCAACUGUGAAUCAGUGGGAAUAUGAUGGAGUGUGAUUAGGCCUUGUUGAAGCUUGGUCCUAACAAAGUGACAAUCGAUUUCUAUGUGCUUUGUCCUCUCAUGAAAAACUGGAUUCUUUGCAAUGUGGACUGCUGCUUGACUGUCACAAUGGACAGGGAUAGGUAAGGAGCAUUGUACAGUCAACUCAUCCAACAAUCGUUCAAGCCACACUAGUUCUCCUACAACUUGUCUCACAGCUCUAUAUUCAGCUUCAGCAGAUGACAAAGACACUGUUGCUUGCUUCUUAGACUUCCAGCUGACAGGACUAUCACCCAGAAGCACUAGGUAUCCACUAACAGACUUCCUGGAAUCAGGGCAAGCAGCCCAAUCAGAAUCACAAUAAGCACUGAUAGUGAGAUCAGGCUUGUUUGAGAUAAAAAUUCCCAAUGUUGGAUCCUGUUUCAAAUAUCUGAGCACAUGGUAUGCUGCUUUUAAAUGUGGUUCCCUAGGUGAUUGCAUAAAUUGGCUCAAGUGUUGUAUACUAUAAGCUAUGUCCAUUCUAGUGUUGGUCAAAAAAUUUAGCUUACCAACCAACUUCCUGUAUUGAGUAGGAUCAGAUAAAAGAUUGCCAUCUGUAGCUGUUAACUUCUCAGUGCAAUCAAGUGGUGAUGUAGUGGCCUUGUGACUUAACACAUCAAAAUCUUUCAGGAGAUCAGAAGUGAAUUUCCUUUGUGAAACUAGCACUCCAUCAUGUCUGUAUAAUAUUUCCAGUCCCAGAAAGUAGUGUAGUUUGCCCAAAUCCUUUAUCUUGAACUGAUCAUUUAAGAAGCUCUUUAAGGAGUUGAUUUCAGCCACAUCUGUUCCAGUUAGAAUUAUGUCAUCCACAUAUACAGCAACAAACACCAAGGAGCAGCCCUUCCUUUUGUAGAACAGUGAGUAAUCACUGUCUGAGUGCUGAUACCCUCUUGAACAUAGACAGUUUGCCAACUUCUCAUACCAUUGCCUGCUGGCCUGUUUUAGUCCAUACAAAGACUUCUUCAAUUUGCACACCAUGUUAUCACAACCUACUACAAGACCUUGUGGAGGUGCCAUGUACACUUCCUCAUGCAAAUCACCAUGUAAGAAUGCAUUAUUGACAUCUAGCUGAUACAAGCUCCAAUCUUUCUUAACAGCUAAAGAGAUUAAUGUUCUAACAGUAGUCAUUUUAACUACAGGUGAGAAGGUUUCAGUGUAAUCUACCCCAACUUGUUGUGUAUAACCUUUGACCACCAACCUACACCCCAGCUUGUUGUGUAUAACCUUUGACCACCAGCCUAGCCUUGAACCUCUCCACACUCCCAUCAGCUUUGUGCUUGAUUUUGUACACCCACUUGCACCCAAUAGCUUUCUUCCCAUCAGGUAACAUGACCAUCUCCCAAGUGUCAUUAGCAUACAAAGCUUCAAACUCCUGUGUCAUGGCCUGCUGCCAGGCAGGGUGCAAUAUUGCUUCCUCAAAUGAAAUAGGCUCACAUUCAUGUGAAAUGGUUGUUACUAACUGCUGACUAUCAGAACAAAGACUGGUGAAACAUACAUGUUUAUGGGGAGAUAUAAAGGAAGUGAGGGAGUGCAGCUUAGGUAUAGUGUAGGUGUAUUCUUUUAGGUAAUUAGGAGUGUGUAUGGUUCUGGUUGUUCUUCUAGGUGCUGAUAUUGUAGGUACUGGUAAAGUAUCAUGAUGCAUGGUGGCAUUUGGAUCAGGUAAGGUAGGUUGAGUUGUAGUAGGUUGAGUUGUAGGUUCAUGUAGGACAGCAGGUGGUACUUCAUUCAUGUUGGUAUUACUGGUUACUUGAUUAUUAGUGACUUCAUGUGGUGUGAAAUUUUCCAGUUGAUCAUCAUUAGCAAAAAUGUUCAUUUUACCAGACAUACAAGGCAUGCUAGUGGUAUGAGUAAGCAUUUGCAGAAUGGAAUUGAAACUAGAACCAUCAGGGGCAAUAACAAAAGGAAAAAUAUUUUCUUGAAAAAUAACAUCUCUUGAUAUAUGAACUUUCUUGGUAGCUAAAUUCAAAACUUUGUAACCUUUUGUAUUGAAAGGGUAACCAACAAAAACAUGAGGUGUGGUUCUAGGUUCAAAUUUAUCUUUGUGAGUUUUCAAGGUAGUGGGGAAACAAAGACAACCAAAACUCUUAAGGUGGGAAUAUGUAGGUGAUUUAUGGUACAACAUUUCAUAUGGAGAUUUAUUCUGUAAAAGUUGAGUGGGCAGUCUAUUAAUCAGGUAUGUGGCAGUCAAUACACAUUCCCCCCAGUACCUCAUAGGCAACUUUGACUGAAACAAAAGUGCCCUUGCUGUUUCAAGUAGGUACUUAUGUUUCCUUUCUACCACCCCAUUUUGUUGAGGUGUAUAAGGACAAGUUCUUUGGUGUAUGAUACCUUGUUUUGGAAGAAAUUUGUGGCUUCAGCUGAAGUAAACUCUAACCCAUUGUCAGAUCUUAUGGCUUUUUAACUUGGUUUGGAAUUGGUUUUCUAUGAGAGAUAUGAAGGCUUUGAUAGUUUGGAGAGCAUUACUCUUACAUCUCAGCAAUUGUGUCCAAGUGGACCUACUGUGGUCAUCUACCAUAGUGAGGAAAUAAUGAUAUCCAUCAUGAGUGGGAACAUGAUAUGGUCCCCAUAGGUCAACAUGUAACAACUCAAACACUUUAGUGGUGGUGGUGAUACUUUCUGGAAAAGGCAUCCUAGUUUGCCUAGCCAUAGGGCAUAUAUUGCAAGUAAAAGGCUGUUUAGGAGAAAAAUGAACAGGUAUAGUUGAGAUAUUUUUCAUUUUUACAAAAGGUACAUGUCCUAAUCUAGCAUGCCACAAAAGUUCAUCAUCAUGAGUGUGAUUAGAGACAUUUGUAAAUGAAGGACAAGCAUGAGUAAAACAAGAGGAAGGAAAAACAGUACAAUCUGCCUUAUUCAUAGGAGAGUAUUUUACAGAAGAACCAGUGGACACAUUAGAAUCUGAAACCCUGCUAGUAUUGCCUAAAGAAGAGACAAGAGGACAAUUAACAUGAGGUGCUUUACUCUCAGCAGAUGGACAACAAUUGUGGCAUUUGUGACACAAGAAGUACAGGCCAUUCUUGGCUUUACCAAGUUCCAGAGGGCUCUUCAGAGAAGGGCCCUGCAGCAAACAAGAAGAUUUGUCAAAGCUGACUACACCAUUGAAUUGUAGUGCUAAACAAUGAACAGAAAUGAGAUUAAACUUGAAGCUAGGUACAAACAACACUUUGCUUAGAGUCAAAGCUGGAUUUAAACAAGCAUCACCAAUUUCAGUCACUUUAACCUUGUAACCAUUAGGGAGUGAAAUUAGAAAGGGAUAUGGAAGUGAAAUGAUGUUUGUGAGGGUGGUCUUAUCAUAGGUCAUAUGGUGUGAUGCUCCUGAAUCUAUGAUCCAAGAGCCAGCAGUCAGUUUAACACAUUUACAAGAAAGAUCACCUAUAUCAGUAAUAGAGGAAUAACAUGCAAGUAUACCUGCCAAGUUCACAGCUCCAUUCAGCAUGUUGUUUGAGUUGUCUGAGGCUCCAUUUCCAACUUGUAAAGUUCCCAGGAGAUUGAGUAGUUGUUCAUAUUGAUCUUUGGACAAGUUCAAUGGCAUUUGUCUCCUUACUUCAGGUUCCUCUUCAGAUUGAACUCCAUUCAUAUCAGGGGCACACACAUUUGCUGCAGCUUUUCCCUUUUUGAACCUUGGAUUUGGAUUGGAUGGGUAUCCAUGAAGCUUGUAACAUCUAUCCUUUGUGUGUCCUGAUUUCUUACAGUAGUCACAAAACAAAGAAGACUUGCCAGUGCUAGAAUUGCCUCUAAACCCAGUAUUACCAGAAUUGGUUCCACCUCCUCCAGAUGAACUGUAGUUUGUCCGGAAUCCCCUGUAUCCUGCACUGCUGUUGGUCUGUCCAUAAGCAUUGAGAGAGGUAGAAUCCAAGGCUGUAUGAUUAUGAGGCUUCACCUCCCUUUGUUUUUCCUCUUGGGAUAAUAUGGCAAAAGCUUGAGCCAUGCUUGGAAGUGUGUUCAUCAUGAGAAUGCUGCCUCUGACAGUCGUAUAUAUCUCAUUCAAUCCCAUUAGAAAAUGUAUCAAUCUUCUGUCUUGUUCAGCCUUGUGUAAUUUGCUUUUACCCCCACAAAUGCACACACAAGUACACUGAGAAUUGACAUCAAUGGUACUCAUUUCCUCCCACAACUUCUUCAUUCUUGUGUAAUAUCCAGUGAUGUCUAAAGUGCCUUGGACCAGAUCAUUAAUUUCCUUCUGCAGUUGAUACAAUUUACACCCAUUGGUUUGAUCGUACCUUUCUUCUAGUUCUCCCCAAAGCUCCUGAGCAUUAUUGACAUACUGCAGACUAUCACGCAAAUCUGGUGACAAGGAAUUCAGGAUCCAAGAUGUGACCAUAUCAUCACACCUUUCCCAUUGCUGAAAGCUAGGAUCAGUAGGAUCAGGUCUCACAACCUUCCCAUUAAUGAAUCCUGUCUUGCUCUUAACAGAUAAAGCCCUGAGAACUGCUCUUCUCCAGGAUCUGUAACCAGUUCCAUCAAAAACUGCAGGUAAUAGGGAUGAACUUGCAUUCUCAGAUGGAUGCAAGUAGAAAGGACUAGGGAUUUCUACCCUAACAGUGGAUGCAGAAGCAUUUGGAAUGGAAUCAUUUGAAGAAUCGACCAUUGUGAAUUGAAAAUUGGGAAGAAGAUCAAGUCGAGAACAACCAGAUCAAACAGCGUUCACAAACAAAAUUGACAGAUCGAAGAUCCAGUCGAGAUCAACCAGAUCAAAGAAAAAAUUCACAUAAGAGAAAACGAAGCUCACAGAUUGAAUUGGAAACAAAAAAAAACAGGAGCAAUUCCCUGUGCUUUGAUACCAUGAUGAAAUCAGCUACUGAUCAGUCAAGCUCCUCCAUUGAUGUAGCUUCAACUCACAUGAGAAAAGAUGAGAGAAGAAGAGAGAAGAGAAGAGAAGAAGAAUCUAGAAGAGCAACAUGAAAAUUAUCUCUCAUUGAAUGUGAAUUAAAGAAGUGAGUAUUACAAUGUAUCUGUAUAUAUACACAAUCACUAAGCAACUAAUAAUCAUUGGCAGAAAUUAACUAACUAACAAACUUGAUUCUAACUAACUCUACUGUACAUAACCGACUCUACUGUACAUAACUAACUAAUUAUACUUUAUAUUCUCAUCAAUAUCCCUUUUUUCAAAUUUCAUAGCUGAACUACUAGGUGUGCGAGUUCCUACCAGAACUAUUACCAACUAUUUAUCAAAACACACAUCAACUAUAUAUGAGUUGUUCCCUUUUACUAGUGGUGAAAAAUAGGUGGAUUUGGACGGGACUGAAAAUGGAUUGAGCAACAUGGUCGUAACUCACUUUAAUCUCUUAAAGCCAGAAAACUUUAAAGAGUUAAUUGAAAUAAACUUAAUGACUAUCCUACUUGAAGUAUCACCAUCGUUCAGGUAAGAAAAAGGAAGUAAAUCAAGGAAGACGAUGUCUUACAAAGCCUGAUGGAUAUGGACCUCGAUAGAACCUCCAUAGUUGUCUUGAAUGUCCUGUUGAAUCUGCUUUGCGGAAUUCCCAACAGAUUCUGGGCAGUUUCUUAUAUCAAUUAGAGCAAGUGUGGUUAUAUCUGCAAAAUCUUGAGGGAUUGAGUCCAAAAACCUGCAACUAUCAAGAAAUAGUCGUUCAAGGCACGGAAAGUGAUCACAACUAGCUCUCCAGUACUGAAUAUGUGAUCUUUUAAGUAACAAGAACUUCAAAAAAGGAAACCCUUCCUCAGCUACUUCCCACUCCCUGCCUCUGCAUACACCCUGUGUUAGUUCAAGAAGUUCAAGUUUGGGCAAUUUUCCGACAACAAUGCUUAAAUCCUUCCAUGACAAGAAGAAAUUUCCUGUAAAAGUUAAAUUCUUAAGGUUUCGUGGAAAAGCAUCUGGAGGAGGUAAGAUCAAAGAUGGAACAACUUCUACAACAAGUGGAUUCCUUGUCUGAAAACACAUUCUCCUCUCCAAAAAGUAAGCAUUAUUUUGAGGAGGAAGACAAAAUGCUAGUUCCUCGAGAUGAUCUAAGUAGCGAAAAUCAUAGAGGUCUUUGUGACUAUGGAAGUCUUGUGGGAUGCCACGUACUUGCAACUCCUUUAAAUUGGGAAAUAGUCUAAAGAAAGAUGCAGUACAAUAGCUAGGAUUCCAUCCAAACAGAGAAUGUAAAUUUUUCAUAACCAAACUUUUCUCUGUAAGCUCAUGAUAUCGCAAGUAAUUCCGAUCCAAAUGAAGGUGCCUCAACUGUGGCAUAGUCAAAAUUUCUGAUGGUAAUAUCAAAGCAUGUUUACGAAGAUUAAUAACGAGUGGAAGGUAAAGUACCAAACUUUGCAGAUAGCAUAGGUUUGAUAUGGAUGUAGGAAUGUCUACUCUUGAUGAGAGAACAUCUUCUUCGGAUCCUAGAUAUUGCUCAACGUUAGGAUAAAUACGCAAAGCUAGGUGUCUUAAGUGAAUCAAAUAAAGUAUUUCACGGGGAAAAGUUAGACAGAUAUUAUCAGCAAGAUCUAGAACUCUUACUAGCUUGAACGGCAAGUACUCCCUCAUGCAACAUCGGAAUCUACCAAAUAAGAUAACAGAAUGAGCUUCACUGUUAAGGCACCUAACAUACUCUUUCUUAUUAUGGAUGCUGAUUCGACCUCGACUCUUAGACAAACACUGCAUAGAUUUCACACAUGGAUUUUGAUCAUUCUUACUUCCGAGAACAUUCACAAAAUUCAUGUUACGAGCUUCCAUCAUACAGAGUUCACGAGUCGUAUCAUGAAUUCCACAACACUUAAUUUUUCCAUCAAAAGUAGUACUUUCUAUGGAAAUUAAACUUCUAUCAAUAAGAUCUUGUAGGUACUUUUCUGCCACUUCUUCUAUGCUUUUCAUCUCUUCUACCUUCAAAAAUCCCUCUGUUUCCCACAAUAUCAUAAGUUUAUUGACAAAAAUCAGUUUAUCCUCUGGGAAGAUUGCGAAAUAUAAAAAGCAUGGUUUUAGGUGGUGAGGCAAGUAAUGGUAACUCAUUGCCAACACCCUCAUGCAUUGGACACCAACAUCUGUGCUUACUGCUGAACUUACAUUUUCAGCAACACUUUGCCACUCACUCAAUGCUUUGUCAAUUUUAGUGAGAAGUCCCGCGAUCACAACAAUUGCUAGAGGCAAUCCUCCGCAUUUCAAUGCAAUUUGCUUUCCAAGUUGUUCAUAUUCAGGGGAGAAAGAGUCUUUCGUAAAGACUUUUUCAUACAAUAAACUCCAACUUUCGUCAAAAUUCAUGAGGCGCAUGUGAUAAGGAGGCUUACCUGAGCUAGCAUAUUCAGCCACUUCCACAUUCCGAGUAGUCAAGAGUAUUCGGCUUCCAUUAUGAAAGUCUGGGAAACAUAUUUGUAUAUCAUCCCAAGCUUUUGUAGUCCAUAUGUCAUCAAUGACUACCAAAUAUCUCUCACCUUUUAGAAGCUUUUGUAGUCGAUCUGCUAGUUGCCCGUCAUGUAGCUGAUCAUAAGGUUUAUCACUUAUACAAGAAAGAAGGUCUAGGAAAACAUUUCUCACACAAUACUCUUGUGAAACAGUAGCUUUAGCACGAAUGUCAAAACGAUACAUCAUGCAUGGAUCGUUGUAGAGUUUCGUAGCCAAAGUUGUCUUGCCAAUGCCUCCCAUACCUACAAUUGAUACAACUGCUAGUUCUCUUUCUCCUCUAGCAAGUUGAUCCAGCAUCAUCUUGAAUUCAUUUUCAUAGCCAACCAUUAUAUCCUCGGACCGCUCAACAGCACGUUCAGGUAUCUUGGAUAGACAAAAAUUUUGUGCUUUGAAAUCUUUAAAGUUGUUGUACCAGUCCCAUAUUGCCAACCACUGCAUCAUGAAGGAAUCAAUGCAUUCUACCUCUUGUUCCAAGGAACAACAGAGUUCCCAGAAAGCUUUGCUUCGUGUAAUUACAGUUUCUGCGGAAGAAACUUUUCUUGAUUUCGAAUCAACCAUGUCUUCUGCUUUGUAUGCUACCUCCGCGAUUUCAACUUCCAAGGUUGUUAACCCCUCAUGAUCUCCCGUUAUAUUGCAGGAUUUCUCCAUAAUAGCUCUCAAAGAUUCAAGCUUUUCAUAGAAUGGUUGCAAAUCACAUCCAGUAAGUUCCAUUGACUGGUGUAUGGUUCUCAUAAGGGAAGUAACAGCAGCAUAAGCCAUAUAUCCAAAAAAUAGGAAUCUCUCACACUCAGUAUGAAAAUGGACAAAUUAAUUGCCACAAGUUAUGUAAUCUUUCUUUUACUAACUAUUUCCAUCACAUUUCUAGCUAGGUCCACUAACAGGUAAAGUAGAAAGAUGUGAGGUCCCUAACCUUAUCAUCAUGUAGACAAAAGAAGAGACCAAAGUUUUUAAAAAAAAGACAGGAAAAAGUAGAAAAAUUUGUGAUCAUUCAUUAUUAGACCCUACACUAAUCUCUUUAGAAAAAUAAACUAAAAUUUUAGUUUAAAUAAAGGAGUUCAAGCUGUAUAUUGAUAACGCCCAAUUCAAAUUCAAGUGUAGUACGGUCUAGCAAUAAUAAACUCAACAAAUGUUGGGGUCGAGGAGUAUGCUUGUGUCAAGGUGACAGAGAAUGCGAAUUUGCGAAUUUCCUAAGCUUAUCUACAAAUAAAAGGUCUUUCUUUUAGCUAGGUCCAUAAUCCAUGUAGUGCUCUCUACUCUCUAGUCUCUAUCAACCAACUCAAGUUUAAGGGUGUGUUUGGUAUGGAGGAAACAUUUUCUCUAGAAUAGGGAGAGUUUUGUGCAUAAACAAAGAAGAAUAUCUCAGUAUAACAGUGAAUGUGUAUUUUUUUUAUGAUUUGCUUCAUUUGAGUAUGACUUUUGUAAGAAAAUUCUGGUAAAAGUUUAAAAAAUGAUCUUGUGGAAUAAGCACAGUGAAUUCCUUAAUAUUCGAGUAGAAAAAGCCAGGGAGGAUAACAUUGCUAUUUGUACACUUAUCGUGACACGAGUAGUCUCUUAAAUAUUACACCUUUCUACUGGUGUUGCUGGUGCCACUGAAUUUAGCCUUCCGUCUUCCUUUGCGAGGUAGAUUGAGGACUCCCAAGAAAGGAAACACAAGGUACUGGAGUCUGUUCCGGCCUCUACAGUAUGUAUGUACAUAAAAUUUGGAGUAACUAAAAAACCACUGACAAAUGGCUAUACGAAAGAUCAUAUACAAUUUAAUUACAAGCCAUUUGCAAUCAUCCUGCCCCUUUAUGCAGAAUCUUUUCAAAGAAAAUGAAAACAAACACUCACACAUUUGGCUUCUGAUUGACAUUUAUUUCAGAGAACUGGCUAGUCCUCAGAACACCUUAACUACUCGCUGCAGAAAAAAAAAGACGCAAAAAAUGGAAAAUAAUAUGUUAGAUGUCCCAUAAUUAAGGAACAGGAGAACAUUAUAGCAAGAAUGAGCAUGCAGGUAUAAGAACUUACACAUUAUUGCGGCAAGAAGCAACUUCUUUCUCAAAGUCAAUAUCAUCAUCUUCAUCUAUUGUUACACUACAUCGAAAAUGCUUGCUACAAAAGAUGAAAAAUGAAAUGUUACACUUCCCAAAAUCAAGAAUGAGCAUGCAAGUAUAACAACUUACACAAUAUUGGAAGGAUUCGAAUCAAUCACAAUGACAGCAUCAAGAACUUUUGUUGAAUUGGUGUAAUUUGACUUACUAAAGCUAUUAUCCAGAUUAUUAUCGAGUUUACUAUAAUGAUGAGUUAAAUAUUGUUGUAAAUCAAGGAAGAAGAUGUACUUACUAAAGAUUACGAGUAUGGACCUCGAUAGAGCUUCCAUAGUUGUCUUGAAUGUCCUGUUGAAUUUGCUUGGCGGAAUUCCCAACAGAUUGUUGACAGUAACUUAUAUCAAUAAGAGCUAGUGUGGUUAUAUCUGCAAAAUCUCGAGGGAUUGAAUCCAAAUAAUAGCAACUUCUAAGAAAAAGUCGUUCAAGGUACGGAAAGUGAUCACUACUAGCUCUCCAGUACCGAAUGCAUACUUCAUGCAGAAACAAGAACUUCAAGUGAGGAAACCCUUCCUCAACUACUUCCCACUCCUCGCCUAUGAAGGAUUUCCAUGAUAGUUUAAGGACCUCGAGUUUGGGUAAUUUACCAACAAUGCUCAAAUCCUUCCAUGCCAAAAAGAAUUCUCCGCUAAAAGUUAAACUCUUAAGGUUUUGUGGAAAAGCAUCCGGAGGAGGUAAGCGUAAAGUUGAAACAUCAGUUGGAGGUGCAGUUGCCCUGAAAGGUAAGAGUAAACUUGUAUAAAGUUGAACAACUAGCCACAUGAGUCCUACAUGACACAAUACACAUAAGACACCAACUAUUUCCAUCACAUUUCCAGCUAGGUCCACUAACAGGAUAAAGUAGAAAGAUGUGAGGUCACUAACCUUAUCAUCAUGUAGACAAAAGAAGAGACCAAAGUUAAAAAAAAAAAAGACAGGAAAAAGUAGAAAAAUUUGUGAUCAUACAUUAUUAGACCCUACACUAAUCUCUUUAGAAAAAUAAGUUUCAAUAAAGGAGUUCAAGCUGUAUAUUGAUAACGUCCAAUUCAAAUUCAAGUGUAGUACGGUCUAGCAAUAAUAAACUCAACAAAAGUUGGGGUCGAGGAGUACACUUGUGUCAAGGUGACAGAGAGUGUUCUGGCCUAUACAGUAUGUAUGUAUGUACAUAAAAUUUGGAGUAUCUAAAGAACCACUGACAAAUGGCUAUACGAAAGAUCAUAUACAAUUAAAUUACAAGCCAUUUGCAAUCAUCCUGCCACCUUAUGCAGAAAAAAUGAAAAUUCUGAUUUGACAUUUAUUUCAGAGAACUGGCUAGUCCUCAGAACACCUUAACUACUCGCUGCAGAGAAAAAAAAAAGACACAAAAAAUGGAAAAUAAUAUGUUAGAUGUCCCAUAAUUAAGGAACAAGAGAACAUUAUAGCAAGAAUGAGCAUGCAGGUAUAAGAACUUACACAUUAUUGCGGCAAGAAGCAACUUCUUUCUCAAAGUCAUCUUCAUCUGUUGUUAUAUCGAAAAUGCUUUCUACAAAAGAUGAAAAAUGAAAUGUUACACUUCCCAAAAUCAAGAAUGAACAUGCAAGUAUAACAAGUUACACAAUAUUGGAAGGAUUCAAAUCAAACACAAUGACAGCAUCAAGAACUUUUGUUGAAUUGGUGCAAUUGGACUUACUAAAGCUAUUAUCCAGAUUAUUAUCGAGUUUACUAUGAUGAUGAGUUAAAUAUUGUUGUAAAUCAAGGAAGAAGAUGUCUUACAAAAGAUGACGAGUAUGGACCUCGAUAGAGCUUCCAUAGUUGUCUUGAAUGUCCUGUUGAAUUUGCUUGGCGGAUUUCCCAACAGAUUGUCGACAGCUACUUAUAUCAAUAAGAGCUAGUGUGGUUAUAUCUGCAAAAUCUGGAGGGAUUGAAUCCAAAUCAUAGCAAUUUCUAAGAAAAAGUCGUUCAAGGUACGGAAAGUGAUCACUACUAGCUCUCCAGUACCGAAUGUAUAUGUUAUCCAGAAACAAGAACUUCAAGUGAGGAAACCCUUCCUCAACUACUUCCCACUCCUCGCCUAUGACGGCAUUGUCUGAUAGUUUAAGGACCUCGAGUUCGGGUAAUUUACCAACAAUGCUCAAAUCCUUCGAUGCCAAAAAGAAUUCUCCGCUAAAAGUUAAACUCUUAAGGUUUUGUGGAAAAGCAUCCGGAGGAGGUAAGAGUAAAGUUGGAACAUCAGCUGGAGGUGCAGCUUUCCCGAAUUGUGUCUUUUUGUACAAUAAUUUCGUCUGAAACCUCAGAGGAUCUUGCGGAGUAGAACCUGAAGGUGCAGUGCUUUCUAGAACGCAAGCAGCACCUGGAUAAUAAACACGAAAUGCCAAUUUCUCGAGCUGAUAUAAGUAGCGAAAAUCAUACAGGUCCUUGUGAUUGCGAAAGUCCUCUUGGACGCCAAAUACUUUCAACUUCUUUAAAUUGGGAAAUAGUCUAAAAAAAGACCCUGUACAAUUCCGAGGAUUCAAUUGAUUGAGACAUUGCAAACUUUUCAAAACCAAUCUGUUCUCUGUAGGCUCAUGACUCCGCAAGUAAUUCCAGCCCAUACGCAGCUUCCUCAAUUGUGGCAUCGUCAAAAUUUCCGAUGGUAAUAUGAAAGGAUAACUAUCGGUAAAUGGAAGGUAAAGUUUAAAAGUUUGCAGAUAGCAUAGGCAUGAUAUCGAUAGAGGAAUGUCUAUUAUUGAUGAGGGAACAGCUUCUAUCGAUCCUCGAUACUGCAGUAAGCAAGGAUUAAAACACAAAGAUAGGUAUCUCAAAUGAAUUAGAGAAAGUACUCCACUGGGAAAAAUUGGGCAUGGAGUCCAACCAAGAUCUAGUACUCUUACUAGCUUGAAAGACAAUUCCAGUGUGAUGCAAUUGAAUCCACGCAACAUGAUAAUAGAAUGAGCCUCACUGUUACGACACCAAGCCAAUUCUUCCUCCUUAUAGAUACUGAUCCGACUUCGCUUCUUAAAGGAACACUGCAUGGAUUGUGCACAUGAAUUUUGAUCACUCUUUCCUCUGAUAACAUUCACAAAAUUCAUGUUUCGAGCUUCCCUC
Molecule: long non-coding RNA, 37780 nt
Filed under: Solanum tuberosum (potato)
Lineage: Eukaryota; Viridiplantae; Streptophyta; Magnoliopsida; Solanales; Solanaceae
Description: long non-coding RNA (STUB_LNC011110)
Source: RNAcentral